AAAAAUGAAAAGGGAUCCCACUGUAUGGGAGAACAUAUUUGCCAUUGAUACAUCUGAUAAGGGGUUAAUUUCCAAAAUAUAUAAGGAACUCAUACAACUUAAAAAAGAAAACAGUCCAAUUAAAAAAUGGGCCAAGGACCUAAGACACUUCUCCAAAGUGGCCACACAGCUGGCCACCAAACAUGAAUCAAAGAACAGUGUCACUAAUGAGAGAUGCAAAUUAAAACUACAAAGAUGUACCUUCUCACACCUGCCAGAAUGGCUACCACCAUUAAGUCAGUAACAAGAGCUGGUGAGGAUGUGGAGGAAAAUGAACCCCGGAACACUGCUGGUGGGAAUGCAGACUGGUGCAGCCACUAUUGAAAACUGUGCAGUUUCCUAAAGUUAAAAAUGGAGCUACCAUUUGACCCAGUGAUUCUAGGAAUAUACUACAAAUCCCAAAGCACCAGUCAAAAAGAAUAUGUGCGCCUUUAUGUUCAUAGCAGCGCAAUUGACAACAGCCCAGGUGCCCAUCAGUAGACCAGUUGAAAAAAAGCUGUGGUACAUUUACACAGUGCAAUACUAUGCAGUUGUAAAAAAAAACACCACACAUCUAUAUUACUGUUUGAGACAGCAUGGAGGAACCUGAAGAUGAUUAUGCUAAGUAGAAAAAGCCAGUCAGAGAAAGACAAGUACCAUAUGAUCUCACUUAUAUGUGGAAUUUAAUGAACAUAAUAAACUGAUGAAUAAAAUAGAACCAGAGGCAUGUAAACAAGGAACAGACUAAUGAAUGUCAUAGGGAAAAUUGGAGGAGGGGGAGAUGAACACCCCGCUUCAUUUCAGUGAGCUUAAUAGUUAAUAUUAAAAUUGAACAAAUAUUAAUUUGUCCACUUAAUACACUGAAAUGAAUUGAGAUAUAUAAUUAAAUUUUAUAUUAUCUACUGUAUUGGCUGAUUUAAGUUUAUAGACUGGAAGUUUAGAAAAAAGUGGAAGAACCAGAUAAAUAUAUUGAUUGAUCAGAAGAAACACUCCAAAAAUUGACAUGAAACAUUGCAGCAAGAUUAAAGUAAUGCAGUUAACUUUAUUUUGUUUUCAAAUGAAAACUUGCUUCUUUGGCAAUAUUCAUCAAUGAAGCAGAAUUUUUUUCCUCUUUUGUCUGAAUAUGGGAAUUUCAUUCUUGUUACAUGAAUCACGGGUAUUGGAGCUGUGUAACUGAAUUAUAGCUAGCAUGUGGUUCAGAAUAUACGUUAGGUUUUUAAAAACACCUGAAUUUUUUAUUUAUAAUUUCAAACUUUCACAGCAGUGUACAGAGAAUUUCAUAAAUUUGUUUCAGUGAACUCCUCUUUUUGCUAUAGGUUAUUAGACAUAGUGUUUACUCUUCUAAAUGAAAAUUUCUGAUCAUCUAAAACAUUGACACUUGAAUUUGCAGUGUGUUGUUCUGUUUUGUUCUCAAUAUAUUAACGUUCCUCUGAGUGGUAUUGAUAAAUGGUUCAGAAGAGUAACUCAGUAAAGUAAAAGUAAUAUUUAUUCAUGAUAAGCAAUUAAAUUAUUUGCCUAACUUAAGAAAACUACUGUGCAUAACUCAAUUUGACACAAGGCGAUAGAAGAGUCUGAGUUUACCUGUGGAAUAUAUUGGUUUAUUCUCAGUGUUUGAAGAUACAUUUGAAGAUAAUUGAUUUGGGAAGAUGCCAUAUAAUUUUCCUUUUUUUUUUUUAACCUGCAUGCUGUAAAUGUGUUUUAUGUUUAAAUAAAGAGGAAAAAUUUUUUGAAA
Molecule: long non-coding RNA, 1750 nt
Organism: Myotis lucifugus (little brown bat)
Lineage: Eukaryota; Metazoa; Chordata; Mammalia; Chiroptera; Vespertilionidae
Exons: 2
Source: RefSeq, a predicted model, not a curated record